CGCGUCAAACUGUGAACUGCAGGACACAUGAACAUAGACAUAUCGAACGCACACUGCGGUCCUCGGAUACUGUGCCCGGACCACUCCUGGCUGAGGGUCGUUUCCUAAACCCAGAAUGCCCGCUCCGUCGGCGGUUCGCCGCCACGUCGGACGUCGGGGCUCGAAUGGGAACUCGUCCUCGAUCCGCUCGCGCGGAUCGUCGGUCGUUUCCCGAAAACAGACGGGCACCGCUCCGCCCAGGGCGGUCGGUGUCCUCACACGCAUCCGGUCGCCGUCGACCCACAGCGACGGACGGCGGCGGCGGGCGUGCGACGACGGUGGUCGUGUCCCAGACGGUUCCGAUCGUCUUCGACGUCGACGUCGCGUUGCGCCCGCGGAGUCGUCGUCCGGUCGGCGAGCGCCGGUCGGGCAACGAGGAGAGAGAGGAGAGGCACUACGCUCGUCUCCCUAGCGCGUCGGUCAGAGUUCCGUCGCCCGGUAAGAAACUUUGAACGAGGGGGAGGUAACGUCGCAGCGCGGCGUUUCGAGUACCCCCACGUUUCGGACGGGCGUGCGUCGAGUCGGACCCUCCCGGUGUCGCGCUCCGCCCAGGAGCGCGUGCCGCGCAGAGCGGGCGUUCGCGUCCGAUCGCGCGGGAGACGACUCUUUCUCUCUCUCUCCGCCCGAGAAGCGGGGGACCGGAGACGGUCCCCUGCCGUUAAGCGCACGACCUCAGAGCAGGAGAGACCACCCGCCGAAUUUAA
RNAcentral lists this unclassified non-coding RNA (743 nucleotides) under Platycerus tabanai. RNAcentral's name for it is "partial contains 5.8S rRNA, ITS2 and 28S rRNA". Lineage: Eukaryota; Metazoa; Arthropoda; Insecta; Coleoptera; Lucanidae. The record is from RNAcentral.